This 253-nucleotide ribosomal RNA is filed under the name uncultured prokaryote. RNAcentral's name for it is "partial 16S ribosomal RNA". It matches the Rfam family "Bacterial small subunit ribosomal RNA", at positions 524 to 776 of the family's 1533-position model. The record is from RNAcentral.
GACGAACCGAGCGAACGUUGUUCGGAAUCACUGGGCUUAAAGGGCGCGUAGGCGGGUUCUCAAGUCCGGGGUGAAAUCCCACAGCUCAACUGUGGAACUGCCUCGGAUACUGGGAGUCUAGAGGGUGGCAGGGGUAUGCGGAACUAUCGGUGGAGCGGUGAAAUGCGUUGAUAUCGAUAGGAACUCCGGUGGCGAAGGCGGCAUACUGGUCCACUUCUGACGCUGAGGCGCGAAAGCCAGGGGAGCAAACGGG